Long non-coding RNA from Drosophila willistoni, 130 nucleotides. RefSeq lists it as uncharacterized. The transcript has 4 exons. NCBI's taxonomy places the organism in Eukaryota, Metazoa, Arthropoda, Insecta, Diptera, Drosophilidae. The record is from RefSeq and is a predicted model, not a curated record.
GAAAUGAAUAAAACAGGUGCUCAACCCAAGCAAAGACGUCCAACUGGGACACUUCAGAAUGGAAAAGCUGCCGAUUUAGUUCCCCAACCACCACAAACGUCUGAAUCAACUCCAAACUUGACACCACAAG